This 497-nucleotide ribosomal RNA is filed under the name uncultured bacterium. RNAcentral's name for it is "partial 16S ribosomal RNA". It matches the Rfam family "Bacterial small subunit ribosomal RNA", at positions 28 to 507 of the family's 1533-position model. The record is from RNAcentral.
GAUGAACGCUGGCGGCGUGCCUAAUACAUGCAAGUCGAGCGAACAGACGAGGAGCUUGCUCCUCUGACGUUAGCGGCGGACGGGUGAGUAACACGUGGAUAGCCUACCUAUAAGACUGGGAUAACUUCGGGAAACCGGAGCUAAUACCGGAUAAUAUAUUGAACCGCAUGGUUCAAUAGUGAAAGACGGUUUUGCUGUCACUUAUAGAUGGAUCCGCGCCGCAUUAGCUAGUUGGUAAGGUAACGGCUUACCAAGGCAACGAUGCGUAGCCGACCUGAGAGGGUGAUCGGCCACACUGGAACUGAGACACGGUCCAGACUCCUACGGGAGGCAGCAGUAGGGAAGCUUCCGCAAUGGGCGAAAGCCUGACGGAGCAACGCCGCGUGAGUGAUGAAGGUCUUCGGAUCGUAAAACUCUGUUAUUAGGGAAGAACAAAUGUGUAAGUAACUAUGCACGUCUUGACGGUACCUAAUCAGAAAGCCACGGCUAACUACGUG